GUGUGUGUGUGAGUGUAAGUAAAUGGAUGUAUCGGUUUUACACUCUUGAUGCUUUAGAGUGUAACCCCUUCCUUGCUGUCCACUUUUUUUUACUGC
This is a long non-coding RNA of Sinocyclocheilus grahami, 96 nucleotides long. RefSeq lists it as uncharacterized. NCBI's taxonomy places the organism in Eukaryota, Metazoa, Chordata, Actinopteri, Cypriniformes, Cyprinidae. The record is from RefSeq and is a predicted model, not a curated record. The transcript is spliced from 3 exons.